This 442-nucleotide ribosomal RNA is filed under the name uncultured prokaryote. RNAcentral's name for it is "bacterial SSU rRNA". It matches the Rfam family "Bacterial small subunit ribosomal RNA", at positions 355 to 796 of the family's 1533-position model. The record is from RNAcentral.
UCGAGAAUCUUCGGCAAUGGACGAAAGUCUGACCGAGCGAUGCCGCGUGCGGGAUGAAGGCCUUCGGGUUGUAAACCGCUGUCAGUUGGGAGGAAGUGCCGAUGAAGAAUCGGCAUUGACCUAUCUUCAGAGGAAGUCCGGGCUAAGUUCGUGCCAGCAGCCGCGGUAACACGAACCGGACAAACGUUAUUCGGAAUUAUUGGGCUUAAAGGGUGCGUAGGCGGCGUAGUAAGUGAGGUGUGAAAGCCCACGGCUCAACCGUGGAAUUGCGCUUCAUACUGCUAUGCUAGAGGGAGACAGAGGUAAGCGGAACUGAUGGUGGAGCGGUGAAAUGCGUUGAUAUCAUCAGGAACACCAGUGGCGAAAGCGGCUUACUGGGUCUCUUCUGACGCUGAGGCACGAAAGCUAGGGUAGCGAACGGGAUUAGAUACCCCCGUAGUCC